This is a non-coding RNA of Pelobates cultripes (western spadefoot toad), 293 nucleotides long. The record is from the annotation of a GenBank genome assembly. NCBI's taxonomy places the organism in Eukaryota, Metazoa, Chordata, Amphibia, Anura, Pelobatidae.
AGAAAUACCUAGCAGGGGUCUCUCUACCGUCACUGACUGAGGAACAAAUAGCUAUAAUACAAGACACUAUCACAGUAGAAGAUGUGCUCCAGGCUAUAUCCCGCCUACCGAGCGGGAAAGCCCCAGGCCCAGACGGGUUCCCCAACAAUUACUACAAAAUAUUCGCACACACUCUAGCCCCGCACUUAGCAAACGUAUUCAAUGCAAUCACUCUCAAAGCAGAUGCACCGACAGAGAUGCUGAGCGCACACAUAGUUACGCUGCCCAAACCAGGGAAACCACCCACAUGUAGC